CUACCACCAGUACCUAACGAUUUGAGAUAAGGAAGAUAAUGGCAAACAUUGUUAACGUAAAUAAGGGUUGUGUGCGCUCUGUACGUCAUAUUGAUGACUGGCGAACAAUUUGGACUUCCAAUCUCUUAUUUUUAUAUAAUAGUGUAGCAUUCUAAAAUGACGUAAUAUUGUUAAAAACAAAAUUACAUCAAUAAUUUUGUUUUCACAAUCAUCACGAGAUUCAAGAAUGUUCAGUUUUAGUUCCUCAUAAUCAUUACGAUUUUUAAACUACUUUCAUUUAUUCUGGUUAAUGUUAUGUGCACCUUAAAUUCCAUAUAUCAAAGCUCGAUACUUUUAUAUAACGUUAUGGAGAUGUUUAUGAUGUGGUUACACUUUAAUUAAAUAAAUAAACUAAUGAUAGUGUUUGUAUAAAUGAUCAAAGCAUUAUUUACUGAGACUGAACAAUGCUAGUGGGCGUUAUCGACGAUCGCAGAUAUUCUCGAGUAUCGAUUACUUUUUGGGUUACCACAUGAAGUCAUUGAAAUGCGUUCGCUGCACUUGUGUUGACAUUUUUGUUUCAUAAUCGCCCAACUGAUCAACUGGGUACGACCUGCCGGCGUGUAAUCCAGCUAAUAUAGUCAAUGUGAAAGUUAAAGACGUUUGAAUGUUCGAAGUUAACGCAUAAAACGCUAAAGAAAUUUGGCAUACAAAUAAACAAGUCAUAGAUUAUCCUACAGGCUAUUAUAUCGAAAUGGCUGGAUACUGCACUAUACUUAUGAAAACAGUUCACAGAAAUAAAGAUUUUAAAGGCGUCAAAUCGAAUGCAGAAACUGUUUAGCCAAUGGUCGAAGGAAGCCGUUGGAAGUGAGUAACACAGGAUGUUGGUUGACUUUGGAAGAGGUCUUUGUUCAAAACCUUGGGGAACAAAUAGCCCUUGGUAGAAAUUUUAGACUACGGAAGCUGAUGCCAUACAGCCUGCUUUCAUUCAAAACAUUUCCGAUGGAAGAAAAAUACUUCUAAAAGCAUGUUAUAUCUCAAAAUAAACAUUUCUAUUUUUUUUUAUUUAUGAGAUGUAGAGAUAACGAAAUAAAACAAAACAUCGUGGGAACGUAUGAAAAAAGAGAAAAUAAGAUUCUAUUCAAAGGUAUAAAAAGAGCAUCGCCUAUUCCAAAACGAAAAAUCCAAUUCGAACAAGUUGCACGAUCGUAUUGAAUGAAAUUAACGGAAUAUGUACAUCUCGGCAGAUCUGGGCUUAUUCCGUGGACCAUUUUGUAUUCAGUGCACUUUCUAACAUGAUGCAUAUACUUGCAUAAGUAUUAUGCGGCGACCACAACAGUAAUGAGGGCUACACUCACCGGGCAC
This is a long non-coding RNA of Manduca sexta (tobacco hornworm), 1341 nucleotides long. RefSeq lists it as uncharacterized. The record is from RefSeq and is a predicted model, not a curated record. The transcript is spliced from 3 exons. Lineage: Eukaryota; Metazoa; Arthropoda; Insecta; Lepidoptera; Sphingidae.